GGAGGCGUUUCUCGUCUGGUGACGGGCGCAGUCUUCAAAACUGCUGUGGGUGAGUACCUCACCCAGGCGGGUUCGAUUCCCGUCCGCCUCCGC
RNAcentral lists this transfer RNA (93 nucleotides) under Epidermidibacterium keratini. Its description in RNAcentral is "tRNA-Sec". It matches the Rfam family "Selenocysteine transfer RNA". The record is from RNAcentral. Lineage: Bacteria; Bacillati; Actinomycetota; Actinomycetes; Sporichthyales; Sporichthyaceae.